UGACCUGCGGAAGGAUCAUUACCUAGAGUUUGUGGGCUUUGCCUGCUAUCUCUUACCCAUGUCUUUUGAGUACCUUACGUUUCCUCGGUGGGUUCGCCCACCGAUUGGACAAAUUUAAACCCUUUGCAGUUGAAAUCAGCGUCUGAAAAAACUUAAUAGUUACAACUUUCAACAACGGAUCUCUUGGUUCUGGCAUCGAUGAAGAACGCAGCGAAAUGCGAUAAGUAGUGUGAAUUGCAGAAUUCAGUGAAUCAUCGAAUCUUUGAACGCACAUUGCGCCCCUUGGUAUUCCAUGGGGCAUGCCUGUUCGAGCGUCAUUUGUACCUUCAAGCUCUGCUUGGUGUUGGGUGUUUGUCUCUUGUAGACUCGCCUUAAAACAAUUGGCAGCCGGCGUAUUGAUUUCGGAGCGCAGUACAUCUCGCGCUUUGCACUCAUAACGACGACGUCCAAAAGUACAUUUUUACACUCUUGACCUCGGAUCAGGUAGGGAUACCCGCUGAACUUAAGCA
This 509-nucleotide ribosomal RNA is filed under the name dothideomycete sp. 7396. Its description in RNAcentral is "eukaryotic LSU rRNA". The stretch from base 164 to 317 matches the Rfam family "5.8S ribosomal RNA". The record is from RNAcentral. Lineage: Eukaryota; Fungi; Ascomycota; Dothideomycetes.